UACGAGUGCCCCAAGCGUUAUCCGGAAUCAUUGGGCGUAAAGGGUGUGUAGGCGGCGCAGUUAGUCCUCUGUCAAAUUUCCCGGCUUAACCGGGAACCUGCAGGGGAAACGGCUGUGCUAGAGGAUGCGAGAGGUGAAUGGAACUCAUGGAGUAGGGGUGAAAUCCGUUGAUAUCAUGGGGAACACCAAAAGCGAAGGCAAUUCACUGGCGCAUUCCUGACGCUGAAACACGAAAGCGUGGGUAGCGAACGGG
Molecule: unclassified non-coding RNA, 253 nt
Filed under: uncultured Parcubacteria group bacterium
Lineage: Bacteria
Description: contains 16S-23S intergenic spacer region
Rfam family: Bacterial small subunit ribosomal RNA
Source: RNAcentral